This 3225-nucleotide long non-coding RNA is filed under the name Macaca mulatta (Rhesus monkey). Its description in RNAcentral is "lncRNA (ENSMMUG00000055396.1)". Lineage: Eukaryota; Metazoa; Chordata; Mammalia; Primates; Cercopithecidae. The record is from RNAcentral.
CCCGCCUCUGUUUGCCUCUCUGUGCACCAACUGUGAGUCUCUGUAAACACUGGAUUCCUCUGUUUCUCCCAGGACACGUGGUCCAACUCCGCCUUCAAGGUUAGGCUUCCGCACUUUAAGUGCAAGCCCAGAUCCACUACCCAGUUCUGGAAUUCAAGGGGAAUGAUUGGCCUAGUUAUUUAUCCCUGGUCCAAUCAGCUAUGGCUGUGGGCGGGGCCACAAGCAAACAUGGCGUCAAGCGCUCACGUCCAUGAGGGGAGAAAGGAGGGAGGAAGUAGAAAGGAUGAAGAAAAGGAAGGAGUGAGAGAGAGAGAAAGAAGAGAGCGAGCUCUCAGAGAAUAGAGGCUGGGGGACUGCUCGUUAAAUAACCCAAUUCCCUUAGGUGGGACAGCCCUGAUGCAGGUCUAGGCAAUCUCCAGAGGGCCCUAGUGGGACUGAGCCCAGAUACCCACAGCCGUGACCUGCCAUUCCUUUUUUUAUUCCCCCCGACCCCUGAGAUGGAGUCUCGCCCUGUGGCCCAGGUUGCAGUGCAGCAGCACCAUCUCGGCUCACUGCAACCUUCACCUCCCAGGUUCAAACGAUUCUCCUGCCUCAGCCUCCCCGAGUAGCUGGGAUUACAGGCACGCUCCAUCACGCCCACCUCAUUUUUGUAUUUUUAGUAAAGACAGGGUUUCACUAUGUUGGCCAGGCUGGUCACGAACUCCUGACCUCAAGUGAUCCAACCGCCUCAGCCUCCCAAAGGGCUGGAAUUACAGGCAUGAAUCACCACGCCCGCCGUGACCUGCUCUUUAGUGCUUCCUGUGUCGACUGCCUUCCCUUCCCUCCCUCCCUUCCCCAUUCCUCUUCCUGGGUCACCUCCCAAACAAACUACAUUCACCUGAACCUCGUCCGGCCGUAUGUGCUGGUGUUAAGGAGUCUGUCUGGAAUUUUCCCUGAGAGCAAUAAGUGGGUUUAUAAACAGGGGUGUGGCAUGAUCUCAUUUGCAACUCAGAGCACUCUGACUGCACCCUGGAAAAUGGGCAGAAGGGGCAAGAGUGGAGCCACGGUCCUGCCCAGGGAGAGGUCCACAGCUAUAGAGCUGAGUGCUGGUGUGUGUGGUUCAGAUUCUCACUGUGCUGAGAGUACCCAGAAGAACAAGUUCACUGGAGUUCAGAGCAGUUGGAUGUGCGAGACUUUACUUGGGCAACCUGAACGGAGAAAGAGGGAAUAAGGAUGGCUCCCACAGAGCAGAAGGGCCUGCACCAGGAAGAUUCCAGGUAUUGUAGAUAUCUCAUUCUUUGUCUUAUUCAGCAUUCAUUCCCCACUUCUUUUUUUUCCUUUUUCUUUCUUUCUUUUUUUUCUUUUCUUUUCUUUUUUUUUUUUUUUAAGACGGAGUCUCACUCUGUCACCCAGGCUCGAGUGCAGUGGUGCGAUCUCAUUUCACUGCAGUGUCCACCUCUGGGGUUCAAGUGAUUUUCCUGCCUCAGCCUCCUGAGUAGCUGGGAAGGCGCGUGCCACCACGCCCGGCUAAUUUUUGUAUUUUUAGUAGAGAUGGGGUUUCACCAUAUUGGCCAGGCUGGUCUUGAACUCCUGACCUCAGGUGACCCGCCCACUUCGGCCUCCAAAAGUGCUGGGAUUAAAGGCGUGAGCUACCGUCCUGGCCUCAUUCCCCACUUCUGAGAAGAGCACCUGGCUUUCCUUUGGAGGAGUCAUUCCUUCCCCACCAUCGGCCCUCAGCUCCUGCUUGGGUGCAGCUAACCCUACCCCCUGGUUCCAGGUGGUCACAUGACCCAACUCUCAUCAAUCCCUCCCACCAGUGAUUGUCUCACAGCUGGGCACAUGACUAGAUCAGGCCAAUCAAGACCAAGGAGACUCUGUUCCGUUUGUGGGGCCUGUCUAGAAAGGGAAGCUCUCUCUCCAUUGGAUUUGGAGCAGUUAGGAUGAAACCUGGAGCUGGUGGCUGGUUUGCUAUCAGGAGCAGAAAGAGGAUACUUGGAAAUAAAGCCAACACGGUAAAGGGAAGAGCUGAGAGAUGGAGGAAGAGUGACCACCCUGAGGGAAACCUUGGCGCUUCCCCAGCCAGUUGUAUUGAAGUCCAUGGCUUCUACGGAUUUCCAGUUACGUAAUCGAAUCAAUUGCCUUUUUUGCCUUAAGCCAGUUUCAGUUAACUUUCUGUCUUUUGCAACUGAAAGUUCAGACAUACUUUGUUUCCUAGAGUAAUGGAAAAAAUGGACUCAGAGUCAAGAAGGACUUUGCUCUGCCAUUAACCAGCUGUGUCCUUGGAUAAAUCACUUCAUCUUCUAGAUUCAAUUCUCUAGAAUGAAGGAAAUAAUACGUUCCUCUUGGGUGGCUGGAAUAAUUGAAUGACCUCCUGUGGCUGGCAGUGCUUUGUGAAAGUGAAGGGGAAAUACAAAUGCAAGGGGUUCUUAGGAAAUGGCAGAGAUAAUAUUAGGAAAGAGGUUUCAGACGAGCUUAAAAGGAUGGCGGGCUCCAAGGUAAACUCAGAUGCAGUAGCAAUCAGGUGGUGAUGGAAGCCUGUGAAGUGGUGGCAGGUAUAAGAAAGAUCAGGGGCCUUUCUGGUCUACUCUUUCCUUUUCUCUUUGAUAAAUUUGUGAGACAAAGGAAUAUCACUGUAAGAAAAAUGGCAGCACAAACGUGAUGAGCACCAUCAACUGACACUGACUUUAGGAUCAGAGACAAUAGGGAGUGGUGGGGACUGUGGUAGACUGGACAGUGCAUGCCCCAUUGUAAACAAGUAGCAUUCCUCAGCUCCAGCCAAUCUAUGCCACACAGUAUGGCAAGAUUUUCUAAUUUUUCUUUUUUUUUUUCCUUAUCUUUUUUUUUUAAAUAGAAAAGUGGGAAAUAUCUUUUAAUGUUUGAGUAUUUUCUUAAAAUUUUCCUUUUUUUUUUUUCUUUUUGAGACAGUUCCUCUGUUGCCCAGGCUGGAGUGCAAUGCUACAAUCUCAGCUCACUGCAACCUCUGCCUCCUGGGUUCAAGCAAUUCUUCUGCCUCAGCCUCCCGAGUAGCUGGAACUACAGGCGCACACCACCACACCUGGCUAAUUUUUUUGAGAUGGGGUUUCACCAUAUUGGCUAGGCUGGUCUCGAACUCCUGACCUCAAGUGAUCUGCCCACCUUGGCCUCCCAAAGUGCUAGGAUUACAGGUUUGAGCCAAGCCACCACAUCUGGCCAGAUUUUCCAUUUUUUUGACUUAACAUAAUAGUGUAAUAAAGAAAUAUGGCUCCC